This is a long non-coding RNA of Chelonia mydas (Green sea turtle), 792 nucleotides long. RefSeq lists it as uncharacterized. NCBI's taxonomy places the organism in Eukaryota, Metazoa, Chordata, Testudines, Cheloniidae. The transcript has 3 exons. The record is from RefSeq and is a predicted model, not a curated record.
UCACUGCAAAAAAAUGAAGAGUUCUAGCACUAUUACUGCAUUUAGUCAUUUCCACUAUUUUCAGAUCAACUUUUUCCUCCAAGAAAGAAGCGGGAAGGUGCACAGGAACAGUUCCCCUUAUAAUUCUACAAGCUGUAAUUGAUAUACACUGAGCUCGAUCCUUAGGUGGCAUAAAUGGACAUUCUCCAUUGAAAUCAGUUUAUGCCCGCUGAGGAUCUGGCCCUCCCAGAAUGAUUACAUGUCAGAUUAAAUGGAGCUCAGCUAGAGAAGAGCAGUGUUUUUUGUUUUGUUUUGUUUUUUGUUUUUUAAGAACUGGUCACAUCUCACUUCUCAGUUCACAUACCUACACAUUCUCUAACAAUCUUCUUUCACUCACAAAAAAGGCAGUUUGAGUUUAUUUGAAUAGUCCUGUUUCUUUGUUGUAGGCUCAAGACCCCAAGCUUUCCAGGUGCUUGAUAGCACUUCAUGUACAAGAUUCUGAUGAGGAUAGAAGACAACCCAAUCUCUGUCUUUUCAACCUUGAGUUUGAUAACAUAACUAGCCAAAGCUGCCACUGAACUCCAAGGACAAAGGAUAUCCACAAUGCUCAGGAAAGGACAACCUUUCAGAAUUGUCCUCCAACUAUCCUGGAGGAAAAUAGUGGAGCAACAGCAGGAGAGUGCCAAACAUCAAUUAGGUGGUUCAUCUUGAACAGAGGCCCUGAGGUGGUUCCAGUAGCAUCCACUAUGUGGCAGCUUCUGUACAAACAUGAAAGAAAGUAUGAUUAUUACCCCCGAAGAGCUUACACUGUAG